RNAcentral lists this ribosomal RNA (134 nucleotides) under Acidovorax sp. BoFeN1. RNAcentral describes it as "partial 23S ribosomal RNA". It matches the Rfam family "Bacterial large subunit ribosomal RNA", at positions 1641 to 1774 of the family's 2925-position model. Lineage: Bacteria; Pseudomonadati; Pseudomonadota; Betaproteobacteria; Burkholderiales; Comamonadaceae. The record is from RNAcentral.
CCGUUUUCGCAAACCGACACUGGUGCGCGAGAUGAGUAUUCUAAGGCGCUUGAGAGAACUCAGGAGAAGGAACUCGGCAAAUUGAUACCGUAACUUCGGGAGAAGGUAUGCCCCAAGUAGGUGAACCUGUACAA